RNAcentral lists this unclassified non-coding RNA (303 nucleotides) under fungal sp. RNAcentral describes it as "partial internal transcribed spacer region". The stretch from base 1 to 46 matches the Rfam family "Eukaryotic small subunit ribosomal RNA", at positions 1786 to 1831 of the family's 1831-position model. Lineage: Eukaryota; Fungi. The record is from RNAcentral.
AAGUCGUAACAAGGUUUCCGUAGGUGAACCUGCGGAAGGAUCAUUAAUGAAUUUCACCACAUAUGGAGAAUUUCAAAAAAAAAAAUUUCCAUAUCCACCUUGUGUGCACCGAAAACAAAAUAUUAUGUGAAAGUCCUUUUGGUCGUUGCAUAAAGAUUUAUCUUAUCACGACCAAAAGGCAACUUUCUCAUUCUUUUUUUUUUUAACGCGUCUGAAAACCAAAAAAAAGGUCUGAAAAAUUUCAAUGAAAUGAAAAUUAUAAUAAAAUAAAAACAACUUUCAGCAACGGAUCUCUAGGCUCUU